Molecule: long non-coding RNA, 1332 nt
Filed under: Apteryx owenii (little spotted kiwi)
Lineage: Eukaryota; Metazoa; Chordata; Aves; Apterygiformes; Apterygidae
Description: lncRNA (ENSAOWG00000017888.1)
Source: RNAcentral
CAAGGGGGGGGGGGGUAUUUGCUUUAUCGCUGCCUCCUGCAGGUUCAAGGCAGCCGCUGAACGUGACUUUAAACUUUCAUCCUGAUUUUUUUUCCAGUUCGAUUUCCCAGCUCGGCUCUGACGCUCCAAAGCCAGCGGCUGGAAAGCUCAAACACUGCUUUGGGGACGUAUCGCUCGAUCCGCUGCGUGGGGAGCCCGUCGCCCUCGGGCUGGCCCAGGUCGAGCCCCAGCGAGCCGCGAACCUACGCUGGUGUUUGGCUGCGUUAUAUCAGAAACAUACUUUCUCAGAAGGUAAAAAGAGAUGUGUGUGUCGUGAAGGAAGUCUCCUUUGAAAAGAAUUAAGAGACAGAGGCGUGAUGGAGGAAGGCACCAAGCCGUUUCUGCCCGACUGCAUGCAGGCGAGGAGGCUCUGAGGUGCCUGUGUCUACGCUUUCCUUCGGGGUGACGGCUCCCCUUCAAAAACUGGCACCCACGGCAGUGAUCACGAAAAACGUACCGGAUAAUAUCUCAGCAGUGUGCAAGCUAUCUGGUCGAGAGGAAAAAAGCAAGAGGAAAAAGGUGUAGAUGUUUGAGCACAAAUGAGUGAAAACUGGAAUAACUAAUCAUGAAAAGAGAAAAUACAUCAUUAGGAUGUAUAAAUACUGUACUUUUUGACCUAGCUUUCCGCAAACACAGGUAUGUUCUCUCAUGACACGUAAUUCCCACAUAAAAGGAAUAUUGUCUCCUACUCAUUAAGGGUAAAACAACUGAUUUACCUUAGGAGCCAUUCAACAAUUCUUGGUGCAUACAAAAGGUAUGGAGCAAAAAGAAACAGACUUUUCCGCAAGCCGAAACCUUGGGACGAUCUCCUGGUGCCCUCUGCUGUCCAAAUUUUUCACUCAAGAAAGCACAAUUUUGAUAUUUUGACAUGCUUAUUGGUUUUAGGAGUUAAUAGGUUGGCAGCCUGACCUGAUUUUUGGUGAUAAGGCUAAAUGAUUUUGCUUCAUUGCUGUUAUUUUAGCUAAAACAGCAGCUUGCCGAAGACAGUUAUCUUUGGCUCUUAAACCAAACCAGAGAACCUGUAGCACGUGGGGAAAAUACAGGUGAUUUCUGAAAACACUUAUUGUAUUUGCCUUUGAAAUGAUGGGUAAAAAUUGUAGCCUAAAAACAUGUAGAAGUGGAUGUUUGAGCUGUAAAGGAAAAUUAAUUCCUCUACGAUACAGCUACUGAAAAUUUUAACUUGUUACUUUCAACUUAUUCUACCCGGGUCCUCAAACUUUGCGACAGGUAUUUUCUCCCAUCUCCAAACGCUCUUCGCUGAUCUGUAAUUGAUAUUGUAGAAACAUACAACUA